This 482-nucleotide ribosomal RNA is filed under the name uncultured bacterium. RNAcentral describes it as "bacterial SSU rRNA". It matches the Rfam family "Bacterial small subunit ribosomal RNA", at positions 28 to 507 of the family's 1533-position model. The record is from RNAcentral.
GACGAACGCUGGCGGCGUGCCUAACACAUGCAAGUCGAACGAAGCAUAGCAAUAUGCUUAGUGGCGGACGGGUGAGUAACGCGUGAACAAUCUGCCCUGUACAAAGGAAUAGCCUCGGGAAACCGGGAUUAAAAACCGUAUGACACUUUAGUAUCGCAUGAUAAGAAAGUCAAAUCGAUUAGAGGUAUGGGAUGAGUUCGCGUCUGAUUAGCUGGUUGGCGGGGUAACGCCCACCAAGGCGACGAUCAGUAGCCGGCCUGAGAGGGUGAACGGCCACACUGGAACUGAGACACGGUCCAGACUCCUACGGGAGGCAGCAGUGGGGAAUAUUGGGCAAUGGGCGAAAGCCUGACCCAGCGACGCCGCGUGGGUGAUGAAGGCCUUCGGGUUGUAAAACCCUUUCGUGCGGAAAGAAUAAGUCCUGUAGCGAAUAACUACGGGAUUUGACGGUACCGCAGGAAGAAGCACCGGCUAACUCCGUG